This 442-nucleotide ribosomal RNA is filed under the name uncultured bacterium. RNAcentral's name for it is "partial 16S ribosomal RNA". It matches the Rfam family "Bacterial small subunit ribosomal RNA", at positions 338 to 795 of the family's 1533-position model. The record is from RNAcentral.
CCUACGGGAGGCAGCAGUGGGGAAUAUUGGGCAAUGGGCGCAAGCCUGACCCAGCAACGCCGCGUGAAGGAAGAAGGCUUUCGGGUUGUAAACUUCUUUUGUCAGGGAAGAGUAGAAGACGGUACCUGACGAAUAAGCCACGGCUCACUACGUGCCAGCAGCCGCGGUCAUACGUAGGUGGCAAGCGUUGUCCGGAUUUACUGGGGGUAAAGGGCGUGUAGGCGGGUUGACAAGUCAGAUGUGAAAUCCUGCGGCUUAACCGCAGAACUGCAGUUGAAACUGUUGAUCUUGAGUACGGGAGAGGCAGAUGGAAUGCCUAGUGUAGCGGUGAAAUGCGUAGAUAUUAGGAGGAACACCAGUGGCGAAGGCGGCCUGCUGGACCGCAACUGACGGUGAGGCGCGAAAGCGUGGGGAGCAAACAGGAUUAGAUACCCCGGUAGUC